UGACUCUGUCAACCAUGAAAGACUGAGGAAACAUAACUGAGAUAUGCAAGUGCCUUGAGAAUCUAAACAGCUUGCCUUCCAUAAGGAUGAGUGGCAAUGGAAGCUUCCUGAUUGCUUGCAACCACACAGAUUGUCUGAAUCUUUCUGUAGUAAUCAAGGCUCAAAGCUUGGAAUUAAUCUGUGUUCAAUCCCAGAUUUACCUGUACCCAGGAACAGAUGAACAAACAUUUCUGGAAGCUUUUCCCUCAUUUUGAAGAGAAGAACAGGUGUGGAGGUGUGCGCAUAAACAUUUGCCUCGGAGAAAGAAGUGUUUCCACCAGGAUGCUCUCAAGGAGGAUUAAAUAGUGGAAUGAACCCUCCAGCUUGGUGGAUGUGCUGGAGUGAAUCAGAAAGGGCAAGUUUCCUGAAGGCAUGGGUCACCAGCGUGGAAAGCUGUGCCACUGCAUGCGUGCCCCUCUCUGUCGGUCGGCACGAGGUCCCUGCAGGUGCCUGCUCUCUGUGCACCUGGGAACAGCAGCUGCAAACCCGUGCGGGUGCCUGCCAUCACACAACAUCCCUCCCAUGUGAAGUAAUGCCCUCCUCAUCCCGCAAAGGUAAGCUGCGGCAAAGAUGAACGACGGGCUUGCGUGUAUGAGAACGAUUACAGAUUUAGUUUCAUUUUUAGAUGGCAUUUUAUG
Cygnus atratus (black swan) is the source of this 677-nucleotide long non-coding RNA. RefSeq lists it as uncharacterized. NCBI's taxonomy places the organism in Eukaryota, Metazoa, Chordata, Aves, Anseriformes, Anatidae. The transcript is spliced from 4 exons. The record is from RefSeq and is a predicted model, not a curated record.